RNAcentral lists this ribosomal RNA (1985 nucleotides) under freshwater metagenome. Its description in RNAcentral is "bacterial LSU rRNA". It matches the Rfam family "Bacterial large subunit ribosomal RNA", at positions 3 to 2033 of the family's 2925-position model. The record is from RNAcentral.
UCAAGUGACUAAGAGCAUGUGGUGGAUGCCUUGGCGAUGAUAGGCGAGAAGGACGUGUAAGCCUGCGAAAAGCUUCGGGGAGCUGGCAAUUAAGCUUUGAUCCGGAGAUGUCCGAAUGGGGAAACCCACCCUUAGGGGUAUCCCAGCCUGAAUACAUAGGGCUGUGGAGGCGAACUCAGCGAACUGAAACAUCUAAGUAGCUGAAGGAACAGAAAUCAACCGAGAUUCCGUAAGUAGUGGCGAGCGAACGCGGAGUAGCCUGUACGUGAUAGUCGAACUCUUAGUAGAACGGAAUGGAAAGUCCGGCCAUAGUGGGUGAUAGCCCCGUAUACGAAAAGAGAUCGGUGGUACUAAGCGUACGACAAGUAGGGCGGGACACGAGAAAUCCUGUCUGAAGAUGGGGGGACCAUCCUCCAAGGCUAAAUACUCAUCAUCGACCGAUAGUGAACCAGUACCGUGAGGGAAAGGCGAAAAGAACCGCGGGAGCGGAGUGAAAUAGAACCUGAAACCGGAUGCAUACAAACAGUGGGAGCCUCCUUGUGGGGUGACUGCGUACCUUUUGUAUAAUGGGUCAGCGACUUACAUUCAGUAGCGAGCUUAACCGAGUAGGGGAGGCGUAGCGAAAGCGAGUCCGAAUAGGGCGUCUAGUUGCUGGGUGUAGACCCGAAACCAAGUGAUCUAUCCAUGGCCAGGUUGAAGGUGCGGUAACACGCACUGGAGGACCGAACCCACUAGUGUUGCAAAACUAGGGGAUGAGCUGUGGAUAGGGGUGAAAGGCUAAACAAACUUGGAAAUAGCUGGUUCUCCUCGAAAACUAUUUAGGUAGUGCCUCAUGUAUCACUGACGGGGGUAAAGCACUGUUAUGGCUAGGGGGUCAUCGCGACUUACCAAACCAUGGCAAACUCUGAAUACCGUCAAGUGCGAGCAUGGGAGACAGACAUCGGGUGCUAACGUCCGGUGUCGAAAGGGAAACAACCCAGACCCUCAGCUAAGGUCCCAAAUGCAUAGUUAAGUGGAAAACGAAGUGGGAAGGCAUAGACAGCCAGGAUGUUGGCUUAGAAGCAGCCAUCAUUUAAAGAAAGCGUAAUAGCUCACUGGUCGAGUCGUCCUGCGCGGAAGAUGUAACGGGGCUCAAACUAUGAACCGAAGCUAGGGAUAUGUCUUAGGACAUAUGGUAGAGGAGCGUUCCGUAGGUCUGUGAAGGUGUCUUGUGAAGGAUGCUGGAGAUAUCGGAAGUGCGAAUGCUGACAUGAGUAGCGAUAAACAGGGUGAAAUUCCCUGUCACCGAAAACCCAAGGUUUCCUGCGCAACGUUCAUCGGCGCAGGGUGAGUCGGCCCCUAAGGCGAGGCUGAAAAGCGUAGUCGAUGGGAAACAGGUUAAUAUUCCUGUACCUCUUUGUAAUGCGAUGGGGGGACGGAGAAGGUUAGGUCAGCCGGGUGUUGGACGUCCCGGUUUAAGCGUGUAGUCGUGCCUGGUAGGCAAAUCCGCCGGGCUUAGAUGAGGCGUGACGACGAGUGGUCUUUGACCGCGAAGUGAUUGAUACCAUGCUUCCAAGAAAAGCCUCUAAGCUUCAGUUACAAAGAGACCGUACCGCAAACCGACACAGGUGGGCAGGAUGAGAAUUCUAAGGCGCUUGAGAGAACUCAGGAGAAGGAACUCGGCAAAUUAGCACCGUAACUUCGGGAGAAGGUGCGCCCUGGUAGGUUGUAGCCCCUCGCGGGCGAAGGCCGAUAGGGUUGCAGUGAAAUGGUGGCUGCGACUGUUUAAUAAAAACACAGCACUCUGCAAACACGAAAGUGGACGUAUAGGGUGUGACGCCUGCCCGGUGCCGGAAGGUUAAGUGAUGGGGUGCAAGCUCUUGAUCGAAGCCCCGGUAAACGGCGGCCGUAACUAUAACGGUCCUAAGGUAGCGAAAUUCCUUGUCGGGUAAGUUCCGACCUGCACGAAUGGCGUAACGAUGGCCACACUGUCUCCUCCUGAGACU